Molecule: long non-coding RNA, 381 nt
Organism: Micropterus dolomieu (smallmouth bass)
Lineage: Eukaryota; Metazoa; Chordata; Actinopteri; Centrarchiformes; Centrarchidae
Exons: 2
Source: RefSeq, a predicted model, not a curated record
UCGUGUUUAUUUUCGUGUGUGUGCAUUUUCCUACUGACUUUUACUAUGAAGGUGAGGGUUCCCUUCAGUUUCUGUGGCAUUACGAUGCUCUGCACAGUGAAGACAAAUCGCGCCUCAUUGGACACCCCUGAAGCGCAAAAGAAAAGAUCACGCAUUUUGCAGAUAAUCACUGACCAGGUGGGAGUUGGAAGGGGACGGUCAGGCCAUCAUGUGGACCAGACCCCUCUGGCCUCUGCAGCUUGGAGUUGAGAGAGUCCAGGACAUUGAACUCCAUGGAUUUGAGGAAGCUGUCACACUUGUUUUCAAAUAUAACCGACACCACCACCUGACUGCCAUCCUGCAGGUUUCCCUGGAUGUCAUAAACCUUAGCAAGAAGGAAAA